RNAcentral lists this transfer RNA (69 nucleotides) under Bryopa lata. Its description in RNAcentral is "tRNA-Glu". The record is from RNAcentral. Lineage: Eukaryota; Metazoa; Mollusca; Bivalvia; Clavagellidae.
CUGCUUGAAGUGUUGUAUUUGCACGCCGGUUUUUCACACCGGACGAACAUCGAAUUGGUGUCUAGCGGG